CUUUUAGAGUUUUUCCCCAAUCGUUCCGGCUUCUAUUUGUUCGUUUAGGGUUUUCUAAUAUUUUCUUCUGUUCAUUCUCCGGUUCGCUCUUGAUCUCGAGUUCGUCUCAUUAUUUUGUUGCGUUUGCUCAACAAGGAAGCUUCGAAGGAGUUCGAGUCGAGCCCGCGUCGCUCUUUUGAUCAUCUCCUUGGAGGCUCUUCCAUGAAGCACGAUCGAGCAUGCUACAAGAGAUAAGUAUUGCUUUCCUUGUUUCUAUUCGUUUGUCUUCAAUUGAUUCAAGUUGAUUGUUCUCUGUUUUGAUUUUUACGUAUCUGCUUGUUGAGUUUUCUUCAAUUUUUCUGCGUUGUUAAUGUUACUUUUCCUUUUAUGUUUUGAUAUGUUGUAAGCUGCAUUUUGUUUUUGUUCAUUACUGUCUUGAGUUCUAUUUUGUGAUUUUGUUCAUAAACUGUUUCUUUAAAUGUCUAAGAGAGCUAAUAUGAGAUUGUUCAUUCUUGAAUCUCAUGUUCUGUGUUUAGGUUUUAAAGUUGAGUGUUCCUCUUUUCCUUUUUCUUAUUCUCUCUUCUCAUUUCUUCUUCCUCGGCUAGAAGCCAUCAAAUCCUGGAAUCCAUUGUGCAAUUAAUGGGACGUGAGAGGAAGCAAUUAUGUCCGGAGAGAAACGGAAUUAGCAGAGUUAAGAAGUGAAUGAGUGGGAGAAGAAGUGGGAAUCACAUAAAGGAAAGAGAGAAAAAGAGUCUCAAGAGCUAACGAAAAUAGGAAAAGAAAACAAAGGCCAAGCUACAGAUUCACGCUACUUCCAUGACCUUGGAUUACCAGCUAUUGGAUUCUCACCUAUGGCAAACACCCCUCUUCUACUCCAUGACCAUAAUGAGUAUUAUCAAUAUUGGUCUGCAAGGUCUUGUAUACUUGUAAGUUAAACUAGUUGAGCAUUUUUCUAUUUAUUUUUUAUUUUUUGACUUUGUAAUUCUCAAUAGUUUGUCCCAUCUAAUCACUAGCCAUUAAAUCAUGUUCUUUUAAUGACUGCAGCUUGAUCCUCAUUGGUUGGAUUCUUGUUGCUGGCACAUUUAUACUUUGUGGUAUAUUUCUCUUUCUUCACAAGUAAGUCCCUUCUAUCUUGUAGAAUUUAUAUUGAAGUUUUUAGUUUUCACCUUUCAGUUACUCUGUUAACUUGUCUAUUAUGAGUCACUUAUUUCGUGAAGUCCAUUUUCUGGUAUAAUCACUUGUGUUGCACAUGUAUAACAAAAGCCUAUUUUAUUGCAUAUUUGCUUGUUGAAUCUAGAACACUAUAAGUGGAACGAGAUUCCACACCCACAUUCAAUUUUUUUGUCUCUUCCUAAAAAUAAAUUUUAUGCAAAACUUUCUUUUUUAUAUAGCUUUGGAUACAUUAGAACCAGCCUCCAUUGAUUUUCUUAAUCUCUAUUUCUCGGUUCAACCAACCCUUCCACAAUCGGAUUGUAGUCUUUUGAGCUAAGACAAACAGGAAUCGCAUCUUGCUUUGCGGUAUUUUUCCUAUUGGAUUUUUUUUAUUUGAAAAUG
Molecule: long non-coding RNA, 1533 nt
Organism: Vigna angularis (adzuki bean)
Lineage: Eukaryota; Viridiplantae; Streptophyta; Magnoliopsida; Fabales; Fabaceae
Exons: 3
Source: RefSeq, a predicted model, not a curated record